Molecule: long non-coding RNA, 853 nt
Organism: Saccostrea cuccullata (small rock oyster)
Lineage: Eukaryota; Metazoa; Mollusca; Bivalvia; Ostreida; Ostreidae
Exons: 5
Source: RefSeq, a predicted model, not a curated record
UGAAUACAUGUGUUUUCUGACUUUUCGGAUAGCCAACUCUUGUUUUUUUUGGAACUUACGACUUAUGGCAAGAGAGAAGAAAAAAUGUGUGACUUUAAAAGAAAACCAGUGAGAUAAAAUCAUAGAAAAUGUAUGAUGAUUCAGGAUGUGGUCAUUUGUGACAUUAAAACAGGCAUUGUCAUCACCAAUAGACGAAUUUCACAUUCCUAAGAGUUUUCUCCAAUUGUCGGCGUAUCGCUCAUUUUUCCCACUUUGUCCUUUGUCCUAUUCUGUGGAUGCCCUAAGACAGUGUCUACCCAUCACUCCAUCUGAAAUCACUUGUUCUAUGCAUAUUUCUCUCUCAAACUUAAACUACAGAGAGCCUGUGGAUAGAGGAUGAAGAGUGACCUUGGACUAAUUUUCUAGGUCAAAGAUCAUAGGUGAUGUGAAGAAAACCAGGAAACUGAUGUUGAAAGAAGUACUUAAUGACCCUUAUGAAUGGACUUAAAUGUGAAAGACUGUUCCAUUGUUUAUCUAAGAUAUAUGAAUUUAUUUAAUAUUUUGAUAUUGAAAAAUUCAGUUACAGUUUUUGUACAUCAAAUGAAUUAUUAAACAUAUAAAAUGGAAAUGCUUUUUUCUUUUACAUGUAAUAAAUUUUUUUGAUAGAUUUUUAAAAGAAUACCCAUUAUUUCACAUUGCUUCCUUUAGAAAAGUUAGGGAAUCUUGAAGUUUCCCAGUAAUUUCCACCAGGAAUGGGACUCUAGAUAAUUCCACCAAGUUUCCGCCACACAGAAAGUGCUACACAAGUUCCACAUAGUUUCCCGAGUCAAGGAAACUUCAGGAAUCAUAAGGUUUCACGAGCUUCCAUGUAGUU